GGUAAAAUAGGAACUCCAAAGAAUAAUAAUCUGAAUUUUUUACCAAAAUUUUUCAAAAAAGACACCAACUCUGGCAAGCUUUGUGUACUGGCCAUAACAGGUGUAAACUUAAUUCUGGACAGGGAGGGUUAUCAAUUUUUUCUUCAGGCUAGAUCAAAAAGCCCUCAAAACCAUCCUCUCCUUGUCUUCUCUCUGAUCCCAAGAGGACUAACUCUCUUCUGCAAUGACUUAGAGUCCCCAUCACCUUGAUCCUGUAUAGAAGCUUUGAUUGGAUGUCAUGAAUGGACUCAUGCCCAGAAAUAUGUAUCUACCAUUGGAAUAUACACUGGCCCCUGUGAAUUGGAUCAGCACCAGUCAGUUUCCCAUGACUGAUUAUCCUCUGCACACUGAGAAGCUGAGCUUCUAGGAUUGCAAAUUCAAGACAAGAUCCUAGGAAAUAGUGCUGGCUGUGACCACUGGGAAUCCUGCACCCCAGGAAGUAGAAGUCAUGAAGGUGACUGUAGAAGUCCUGCAUCCGGGAGAAACCAGUCCUACCUAGCAGCAGAAGCAAGAGCUCUCUGCUAUGGCCUAGGAAAGCAGUAGAAGAUGGCCCAAGUGCUUGAGCCCCUGCACCCACAUGGGAGACCUGGAAGAAGCGCCUGGCUCCUGGCUUCAGAUCGCCUUCGGAUCCAGCUGUUGUGGCCACUUGGGAGUGAACCAGCGGAUAGAAGACCUCUGUCUCUCUCCUUCUGUGUGUGUGUAACUCUGCCCCUCAAAUAAAUUAAAAAAAAAGAAAAAAGAAAAGUAUAGGUCCAUAAAAAUUAUCCUUCCCACCUAUUCCUUGAAAUUUGCCUAGUCUGUUCUCUAGAACUUCUCCCCUUAGACCACUAGGUGGAGAAAAAGUAGGAGUAGGAAGCAAGCAGUAUUGACAGAGCCCAACACAAGGACUACUAAGACAGCUUUGCCAUUAGUUAAGUUGCUGUUUUGAUAUUAAUGGUCAAAGUCUCUUUUUCCAAGAAGAGUGAAUGAACUAUCUUUUUUUAAGAUAUAUUUUUAAUUUAUUUGAAAGGCAGGGUUACAGAGAGAAGGGGGUGGAUUAUGACCUGGUCAAACUGAUUAGAUCCAAAUUUUUAGCUUAUUCUAUCCUGCUGAGCUUUUGCAAGCAUCAAAAACAAUAAGUUAGCACUUUCCCAACAAAUACUAAGCAUGAUCAGUCAACAAGGA
This is a non-coding RNA of Oryctolagus cuniculus (rabbit), 1203 nucleotides long. NCBI's taxonomy places the organism in Eukaryota, Metazoa, Chordata, Mammalia, Lagomorpha, Leporidae. The record is from RefSeq and is a predicted model, not a curated record.